Molecule: ribosomal RNA, 497 nt
Filed under: uncultured bacterium
Lineage: Bacteria
Description: partial 16S ribosomal RNA
Rfam family: Bacterial small subunit ribosomal RNA
Source: RNAcentral
GAUGAACGCUGGCGGCGUGCCUAAUACAUGCAAGUCGAGCGAACGGACGAGAAGCUUGCUUUUCUGAUGUUAGCGGCGGACGGGUGAGUAACACGUGGAUAACCUACCUAUCAGACUGGGAUAACUUCGGGAAACCGGAGCUAAUACCGGAUAAUCUUUUGAACCGCAUGGUUCAAAAGUGAAAGACGGUCUUGCUGUCACUUAUAGAUGGAUCCGCGCUGCAUUAGCUAGUUGGUAAGGUCACGGCUUACCAAGGCAACGAUGCAUAGCCGACCUGAGAGGGUGAUCGGCCACACUGGAACUGAGACACGGUCCAGACUCCUACGGGAGGCAGCAGUAGGGAAUCUUCCGCAAUGGGCGAAAGCCUGACGGAGCAACGCCGCGUGAGUGAUGAAGGUCUUCGGAUCGUAAUACUCUGUUAUGAGGGAAGAACACAUGUGUAAGUAACUGUGCACAUCUUGACGGUACCUAAUCAGAAAGCCACGGCUAACUACGUG